GAUUGCCCCAGUAACGGCGAGUGAAGCGGCAACAGCUCAAAUUUGAAAUCUGGCCCUCGGGUCCGAGUUGUAAUUUGUAGAGGAUGCUUUUGGCGCGGUGCCUUCCGAGUUCCCUGGAACGGGACGCCUUAGAGGGUGAGAGCCCCGUACGGUUGAACACCAAGCCUCUGUAAAGCUCCUUCGACGAGUCGAGUAGUUUGGGAAUGCUGCUCUAAAUGGGAGGUAAAUUUCUUCUAAAGCUAAAUAUUGGCCAGAGACCGAUAGCGCACAAGUAGAGUGAUCGAAAGAUGAAAAGCACUUUGAAAAGAGGGUUAAAUAGCACGUGAAAUUGUUGAAAGGGAAGCGUUUGCGACCAGACCUUUUCCUAGCGGAUCAUCCGGUGUUCUCACCGGUGCACUUCGCUAGGUUUAGGCCAGCAUCGGUUUCUAUAGGGGGAUAAAAGCUCUGGGAACGUAGCUCCUCCGGGAGUGUUAUAGCCCUCUGCAUAAUACCCUUACAGGGACCGAGGACCGCGCUUUUAGCAAGGAUGCUGGCGUAAUGGUCGUCAACGACCCGUCUUGAAACACGGACCAAGGAGUCGAACAUUUGUGCGAGUGUUUGGGUGUUAAACCCUCACGCGUAAUGAAAGUGAACGGAGGUGAGAGCCCUUACGGGUGCAUCAUCGACCGAUCCUGAUGUCUUCGGAUGGAUUUGAGUAAGAGCAUAACUGUUCGGACCCGAAAGAUGGUGAACUAUGCGUGGAUAGGGUGAAGCCAGAGGAAACUCUGGUGGAGGCUCGCAGCGGUUCUGACGUGCAAAUCGAUCGUCAAAUCUGCGCAUGGGGGCGAAAGACUUAUCGAACCAUCUAGUAGCUGGUUACCGCCGAAGUUUCCCUCAGGAUAGCAGUGUUGUUCUUCAGUUUUAUGAGGUAAAGCGAAUGAUUAGGGACUCGGGGGCGCUUUUUAGCCUUCAUCCAUUCUCAAACUUUAAAUAUGUAAGAAGCCCUUGUUACUUAAGUGAACGUGGGCAUUCGAAUGUACCAACACUAGUGGGCCAUUUUUGGUAAGCA
This 1048-nucleotide ribosomal RNA is filed under the name Xylariaceae sp. DIS 360g. RNAcentral's name for it is "LSU rRNA". It matches the Rfam family "Eukaryotic large subunit ribosomal RNA", at positions 73 to 1146 of the family's 3401-position model. The record is from RNAcentral. Lineage: Eukaryota; Fungi; Ascomycota; Sordariomycetes; Xylariales; Xylariaceae.